AGUCACAGCCAGAGUCUCUAAUAUUCCCAUAGAACAGCCUAUCAUUAGUCUCCACAUGCUUUAAUUGAGAAAUCUCAGCCCUGCAAGUGCCCCUUGUCCCUCUAGAAGUACACUGCUAUGAGGAGAACAGGGCCGGGCCCGGAGCCCCAUGGCGGCGGGAGGUGGAUUGUUACUGGCUAUGCUAGCCCAUAGAGCCCAAGGAAGGGUGAAAAUUGCCCAGUAACAGCAAGAGUGAAAAGGCCACGCUCAGCCUGACAGAGAAGAAGAGUCUAUUCCAGCUGCUCCUUUUGGUGGCACCUAGCAGCAGCAGCUUCACAAGUGUGUGCUGCUGGUGCAUCUCCUGCCUCGUGUGAUCCUGAUGCAAUUCCAGUUGCAUCACCCACACCAUGUAAGAGCCCAGCAAAGUGACCGAAGAUAACAGAGCCACACAGCUAGCAAGGCAAGAGGCUUCUCUUCAUUCAGGGCAGAAGGAGAAUGCUGUGAGCCCAUUAGGUUUAUACUGCCUGUGAUGUGGCACCACUAAAAUGGAUGAGCACUGACAGCACUCUACGAGGUACCCUGGCUGCCAGCAGUGCACUGCUGCUUUUCACAUCAUCUUCUCCACUGCCUGCCCAGGAGACUGAGGGUCACAGCAAAGCAUCCCAGCACCUGAUCAUUCCAAGGAUGAUGAGCUCCACCACUGCAACACCUCCUAUGCUUAGCCAGGGAGACUGUGUGAGGGACACAAGCAUGCUUCUGGCAUUCUGAGGGUCCUAAAAAAAUGACUCAUCUAUUUUGUGCUUAAUACAUAUAAAAAUUAUGCUAUGCAGCAACAUAUUGCAUGCAAUUUAAAUUUUAUUACAUGAAGAAAAAAUCACCAAGGACUUUUCUUUCUGGUGAUUAUUUAGCAUUUUUCCCUAUUUCUUGAAAUCAAUGUAGAAAUAGGCUGCAAGUAACUAAGAAAGAAAAAAAAAAAAAAAAAAAAAAAAGCUGUACACUUUAAGCUCCAAGGGAAAAACAAUGCAAAGGAAGUGGAACCCAUAAAGAGUGAGCAGUGCUGGAGCACAUCAGUCUCUCUGCUGAUCACCCUCACUCUGGAGCAAUACAGAUGAACCAACAGGAAAGAGCAGACAAUUCCUCACAGAUAAAAUGAGAUUUUAUAGGGAUGCUAAGCGGCUAACAUAUUUUGUCCCCCUGCCUCUCCUCAGCAGCGUGACAUGUCAAGCUUGGAAAAACAACAUUUACAUAACUGUGUGUGAGAGAAUCACAUGUUAUGUGCAACAGAGGAUUUUGCCUGGGAAUUGAGAGGAGCACAAAAAGGUUCAGAAUGCUGCCAGUGCCCUGGUCCAGAAGCAGAUCCUGUUAACCAGCAGAGUUCACCUGGAGUCCUGCCAGUAAAAUACGCUGCCUCUGACACAACUCCACAACAGGGGUGGUGAGAAACUAUGCCUCUGUCCGCAAGUAGAUGUGAGACCAAGAGCACUGCUGCUGAUACAACAGCAGUUAAACUCCUGAUGGCAAAGUUAGGGAAGUCUUCAUUUGUACCAUUAGGUACCAAAUCACCUUUCAGGAGGUCUCUGGGCAUUUAACCUGUCAGUGUUACAGCCCAAAUCUGUGCAAAGGUGGAGUUUAAUCUCAAAGCCUGGUAUAUUUGCUUUAUAAACCAACACCUUGAUAAUAAACUAUUGUAAUCUAAUGAUUGUGUUAGAACGAUAAUUGUGCAUCUACUUGAAAACAAUUAUGUAAUCAUUUGGGGUAUUUGUGACGUAUUUGUGAACAAGAUGGGAAAAGAGUCACAGAACUGCUUCCCAGGAAACUCCUAGCAAUAUUCUUGUACCACAUUACUGAGGCAUUCAAACAGAGUAGAACAAGGCCAAAUAUGGCAUGGCCCACCUCAGAUGGAAAGUAG
Melospiza melodia melodia is the source of this 1888-nucleotide long non-coding RNA. RefSeq lists it as uncharacterized. Lineage: Eukaryota; Metazoa; Chordata; Aves; Passeriformes; Passerellidae. The transcript is spliced from 7 exons. The record is from RefSeq and is a predicted model, not a curated record.